AGUGAACGCUGGCGGUAGGCCUAAUACAUGCAAGUCGAACGACCGCACAAUAAGCGCUCGUCCCUACGGUUGGCGACUGGCGGGCGGGUGAGGCAUACAUAGCCAUCCUAUAUUUCGUGGGGAACUACGUAGGGCCACAUCCGCUACCACAGAAUAUGUUCUACGGCUUAAAGCAGGGGUUAUUCACACUUUGCCUGUCACUAUUAGAUGGUGCCGGAUUAGCUAGUUGGCGAGGUAAAGGCACACCAAGGCGACGAUGCGUAGCUGAUCUGAGAGGAUGAUCGGCCACACUGGAACUGAGACACGGUCCAGACUCCUACGGGAGGCAGCAGUAGGGAAUAUUCGGCAAUGGGCGCAAGCCUGACCCAGCCACACCGCGUGAGUGAUGAAGGCCUUCGGAUUGUAAAGCUCUGUUGUUAGGGAAGAAAAUCUGCGUAAGAAAACGUCGAUAUCCUGACGGUACCCAAAGAGUAAGCACCGGCUAACUACGUG
This 492-nucleotide ribosomal RNA is filed under the name uncultured bacterium. RNAcentral's name for it is "partial 16S ribosomal RNA". It matches the Rfam family "Bacterial small subunit ribosomal RNA", at positions 29 to 507 of the family's 1533-position model. The record is from RNAcentral.